RNAcentral lists this transfer RNA (72 nucleotides) under Phyllotreta parallela. Its description in RNAcentral is "tRNA-Lys". The record is from RNAcentral. RNAcentral also lists the same sequence under 2 other names. Lineage: Eukaryota; Metazoa; Arthropoda; Insecta; Coleoptera; Chrysomelidae.
CAUUAGAUGGCCGAAAGCUAAGCAAUGGAAUUUUAAAUCAUUAUAUAAUAUAGUAGCGUUAUAUUUCUAAUG